This is a long non-coding RNA of Triticum dicoccoides, 195 nucleotides long. RefSeq lists it as uncharacterized. The transcript is spliced from 3 exons. The record is from RefSeq and is a predicted model, not a curated record. NCBI's taxonomy places the organism in Eukaryota, Viridiplantae, Streptophyta, Magnoliopsida, Poales, Poaceae.
GGUCCAGGAGAUGCCUAGAAAGAAUCAAGAAUGUACAAGCACGGGAGGAGGAGCAAGCACAAGCAAGAAGAGAAAGGCUUCUUUACAGUCCAACUCCAACCGAGAAGAUUCUCCGCCUCCGAGGGAUGACCUAUCACGCAUAUUACGCAAGAGCCUACUUCCCUGUGGUUAUCCUAUGCCAUCUAAGAUUGCUGG